Equus caballus (horse) is the source of this 2218-nucleotide long non-coding RNA. NCBI's taxonomy places the organism in Eukaryota, Metazoa, Chordata, Mammalia, Perissodactyla, Equidae. The record is from Ensembl.
GAGGGGAGGGAGGGAGCGGCCCCGCGCGGAGACCGGGCUGCGGCGCCCGCGCCUGGAAGCUGGAAGCUGGAAGCUGGAAGCUGAAAGCAGCCACCGGCAGGUGCGCCGGAGGAGGCCGCUAGGCGGUUCUUGGGGACACAGAAGGACGAAAGGGCAGAACAUAAUGUGGAGUUAGGUGGAGAUUAGGACAAGAUGGUGGGACCUGGAACAACGGUUCUCAGAUGUGGUCCGCGGAUCCUGGAGGAGGAGGGGCGCGAGUAUCCGCGAGCUCAAAACUAUUUUCGUAAUGAUCCUAAGGCCGAACCAUGAGCCUUUCUCACCGUAUUGACAUUUGCACGAGUGGUGCAAAAGCAACAGUGCGGGAAACGGCGGCUUAGCGUGAAUGAGGACAGAGGCACCAACUAGACCGCAGCAAACUGAAUGCAGAAGCAAGCGCGAGAAUCCAGCUACUGCCACUUGUUGCGUACUGCUGAAUGUUCUCAGCACCAACGCGGUUGUGGAAGCCACGGGUCUGAAAAGAUUGCUCCAGGAGACAGUGUGCUGUGAGGAUGGAGGCGGGGAGAGGAGGAAUCGCUGAUGAGAUCCUGGGGGACACUGACGCCUAAGGGGCUCUGAGGAAGAGGAGACCCAGAAGGGCCGGCACAGAAAGUGCCAGAUGUCCAGGGGAUGGUCUGCAGGGGGGAAGCUACAAAGUGGACGAGUAAGUGAGCACCAAAAGGUGUCCCCUGGACUUAGCACUCCAGAAGCCAUCGGUGACCUUGGCAGGGGCCUUCUUUUAUUUCUUUACCAAGUGGGGAGGAGACUGGAGCAGGCAAAGCAGGAACCUAAUAGCAGUGGGUUGAAGAAAGGCUGGGAGGGAGCAAGGUGGGCUCAGCCAGUGCAGACUUCUCUUCCAGGAAUGAGGAAGCAGCAGGGGGAUGCUAGAUGGAAGGGUGGCUUUGGGGAUUUGGGUUUAGGUUGUUGUUGUUAUUGUUUUUUUAAACUGGGAAUAUCCUUAGCAAAUUUAUAUGCUGAGGAAAAGGAGCCGGCAGAGGUAAGGCUGAAGAUGUCAGUGAAAGAGGGGGGUGAAGGCAAGAGGUGGCCGAGGCCACACCCUGAGGGGUCCAAGCCGCAGACUGGAGAACAUCCCUUCCUCUCCUGGGGAGGAGGGAGCUGUGACAGGUGCUGUCCGGUGGCCUCUAUUUCCUCUGACAAAUGGGAGACAGAGAGUGACGGGGACCAACAGAGAAGAGUGGUGGAGUUUGUAACAACCAGUUUGGGAGAACAGGAGGAGGUUGCCAAGAGACACAGCUGAAGGGCAGUGGGCGGUCCCCACAGGUGUCACGUUGUCCCAGCAGCGAUAAACCUAGGCUUCUUUGUGAAUGCUGGUUACGUCUGUAGCUCUUAAGCUCCUUAAGCUCAUUCACCAUCUCCUUUCUUAUUGGUUUCACCAGCAGGAGGUGACGCUUUCUCCAGGUUCUAAGGACAGCACAUCAUGGCCACCCAAUAAAAGGUGCACGAGGUGUCUCUGGAUUUCUUUCCACCAUAUAGGUUACAAGAUGCAGUCAGCUGUCUGCAACCUGGAAGAAGGUUCUCACCAGGGCCAGCCCUGGUGGCCUAGUGGUUAAGUUCAGCAUGUUCUGCUUUGGCAGCAGGGGUUUGGUUCCCCACCGAAGACCUACACCACUUGUCUGUCAACGGCCAUGCUGUGGCGGCGACUCACAUCGAAAAAGAGGAAGACUGGCAACAGAUGUUAGCUGAGGGCAAAUCUCCCUCAGGAAAAAAAAAAAAAAGAGGGCUCUCACUAAACACAGAAUCAGUCAGUGCCUUGAUCUUGGAAUUCCCAGCCUCCAGAGCCAUGAGAAAUAAAUGUUUGUUGUUUAAGCCGUUCAUUCUACUGUAAUUUGUGACAGCAGCCCGAGCUAACAGAAAAAACGCACCUAGUGACUCCACGCACAGAAUGAGGAAGUUAGUUGUUUUGCCCAGAACAGAGCAGGACUUUCAGCUCUAGGUCAGUGAUUUUUCCACUGCAGCACGGGACGUACCACAAGGUACCAUGGCCUCCUGAGGUCUCCGUUUACUUGAUCAAACAGAAAAUACGUCCUUGGAAUUGGACUCAGCGCAGGUGUGGGAAUUCAUCGCGAGCACUGGCCCUUUUCCUUUGAUCCAGAUUUUACCACUUCCAUAAUCUAGAUCUGAGUUUCCUUAGGAGGUGGACAGGCUUCCUCUCUGAUCUGUG